This 1427-nucleotide unclassified non-coding RNA is filed under the name Hevea brasiliensis (rubber tree). The record is from RNAcentral. Lineage: Eukaryota; Viridiplantae; Streptophyta; Magnoliopsida; Malpighiales; Euphorbiaceae.
AUAAAUAAAUAAAUAAAGUAAAAAAUGCUAUUAUAUACAUUCAGCUACUUCAUAAGAUCAAUGAAGUUAAUAUCCUUGAUACCUGCUGCAUCAUGGGAGUUGAUGCUCUUCUAUAACAUGCAUCCUCGUAUUCUUCUUGAUUUAGUUCUCAACAUUCUCAUCUUUCUCGAUUGGAAUUUUUUCCUUAACGUGAUCCUGUGCUUUUGGAAUAUCUUUGACCUUCAUUGGCUCACGAGGCAAGUUUGGGGGCAAAGGUGCAGAUACUGUAUACUUCUUCUUGGUUGCAUUUAAGGGCUCAGGUUUUUUCCGAGCCUCUUUCAUGAUCACCUCUGGAUUAUCAAUAUCUUUGACACUUUGUGGUUCUACAGGUACAUGUGGAGACAAGGAUAUGGACGCUGUAGACAUGUUAUCUGACUUCUUAAUUGGAUUUAAGGGCUCAAGCUUUUUACCGGUGUCUUUCACCUCGUCAUAAAUAUCUUUUACCUUCAAUGAAUCAGGAGGCACCAACGGAUGUGAAAGUGUAACCACUGUGUCAACAUUCCUUGACUGAUUCAUUGGUUCAACCUUCUUAUUAUCAUCAGAGCGUAACCUCUCUGGCGGAUCAAGAAUGCUUGGACGCGAAGAUGAAAUGCUAUUCUCUUCUUCUAUUGGAGAUUUUGAAUAUGGGGAGACAGGCAGCUGGGGUUUAUCUGUUCCCUUAUUUGGCGAGCGCAAAAGGCUGGAUAUAUGGUCACAAAUUUCUUUGACGUCGAUUUGGAUGCCCUUCAACUUGUCCUUAAUGUCUUUGACAUCUUCAGAAGUGUCUUUCACCUUGCCCUCGAUCUCUUUCACCUUUCCUUCAAUUUCUUUGACCUGGUCACCGAUGUUUUGGAUGUCUUUCACCUUUUUCUCAAUUUCUUUGACGUUGUCACUGAUGUUUUCGAUGGCUUUCACCUUAUUUUGGAUAUCUUUCACCUGGUUUUGGAUGUCUGUCACCUCUUUUUGGAUGUCUUUCACAUGUUCUUGAUUUUUUUUCACCCCUAUUAUAGUCUCAAUCAUAGCAAUCUCAUAGAACCUGCUAAGCGAGUUAUCCAAGUCGAUAAGAUCAUUCAUAUAAUUACGAGGCUUACUGAAGCAACUGCAACAUUUUUUUUCUGAUGAGCAUUUACGAACAAGCUGCUCCCCAUCCUGUAUUUGCUUCCACAAUUUCUUUAUUUCAGUAUUUCCCCCAGCUAUGUCGUUGUUUAGCUCUUGGAUCCUUUGAUAACUUGGCUUUAUCAAGCUAAUCCUGGUUUCGACACGUUGCAAGAUUUCUUCAUACUUUUCUGAUUUCAACUUCACUUCCGUCACAGCAGUUAGCAACUUUCCUAAUACCGCUUCCACAGCUACAUCCACUAAAAACAUAUCGAUUGCUCCUUUUCAAGUGAAGGGGAAAAAAAAAAAUCUUG